GACGAACGCUGGCGGCGUGCUUAACACAUGCAAGUCGAGCGAUGAAGUUCCUUCGGGAAUGAAUUAGCGGCGGACGGGUGAGUAACACGUGGGUAACCUGCCUCAUAGAGGGGAAUAGCCUUUCGAAAGGAAGAUUAAUACCGCAUAAGAUUGUAGUAUCGCAUGAUACAGCAAUUAAAGGAGUAAUCCGCUAUGAGAUGGACCCGCGUCGCAUUAGCUAGUUGGUGAGGUAACGGCUCACCAAGGCGACGAUGCGUAGCCGACCUGAGAGGGUGAUCCGCCACAUGGGGACUGGGACACGGGCCAGACUCCUACGGGAGGCAGCAGUGGGGAAUAUUGCACAAUGGGGGAAACCCUGAUGCAGCAACGCCGCGUGAGUGAUGACGGUCUUCGGAUUGUAAAACUCUGUCUUCAGGGACGAUAAUGACGGUACCUGAGGAGGAAGCCACGGCUAACUACGUGCCAGCCGCCGCGGUAA
Molecule: ribosomal RNA, 478 nt
Filed under: uncultured bacterium
Lineage: Bacteria
Description: partial 16S ribosomal RNA
Rfam family: Bacterial small subunit ribosomal RNA
Source: RNAcentral